This 513-nucleotide ribosomal RNA is filed under the name uncultured bacterium. Its description in RNAcentral is "partial 16S ribosomal RNA". It matches the Rfam family "Bacterial small subunit ribosomal RNA", at positions 29 to 523 of the family's 1533-position model. The record is from RNAcentral.
AAUGAACGCUGGCGGCAUGCCUAAUACAUGCAAGUCGAGCGAACAGAUGAAGUGCUUGCACUUCUGACGUUAGCGGCGAACGGGUGAGUAACACGUAAGGAAUCUACCUAUAAGCGGGGGAUAACAUUCGGAAACGGGUGCUAAUACCGCAUAAUAUCUUCUUCCGCAUGGAAGAAGAUUGAAAGACGGCUCUGCUGUCACUUAUAGAUGACCUUGCGGUGCAUUAGUUAGUUGGUGGGGUAACGGCCUACCAAGACGAUGAGGCAUAGCCGACAUGAGGGGGUGAUCGGCCACAUUGGGACUGAGACACGGCCCAAACUCCUACGGGAGGCAGCAGUAGGGAAGCUUCCGCAAUGGGCGAAAGCCUGACGGAGCAAUGCCGCGUGAGUGAAGAAGGCCUUCGGGUCGUAAAACUCUGUUAUAAGAGAAGAACAAAUUGUAGAGUAACUGCUACAGUCUUGACGGUAUCUUAUCAGAAAGCCACGGCUAACUACGUGCCAGCAGCCGCAGUAA